This is a non-coding RNA of Massarina eburnea CBS 473.64, 108 nucleotides long. Lineage: Eukaryota; Fungi; Ascomycota; Dothideomycetes; Pleosporales; Massarinaceae. The record is from the annotation of a GenBank genome assembly.
GGCUCAGUGGUCUAGUGGUAUGAUUGUCGCUUCGGGUUUCCACGCCUGGAUUUCUUUAAUGGAAUCUAUCAAUGUGACAGGCCCCGGGUUCGAAUCCCGGCUGAGCCC